RNAcentral lists this ribosomal RNA (398 nucleotides) under grassland soil clone saf1_113. Its description in RNAcentral is "bacterial SSU rRNA". It matches the Rfam family "Bacterial small subunit ribosomal RNA", at positions 102 to 496 of the family's 1533-position model. The record is from RNAcentral.
ACGGGUGAGUAAUAUAUCGGAACGUGCCCAGUAAUGGGGGAUAGCCCCGCGAAAGCCGGAUUAAUACCGCAUACGACCUAUGGGUGAAAGCGGGGGAUCGCAAGACCUCGCGUUAUUGGAGCGGCCGAUAUCAGAUUAGCUAGUUGGCGGGGUAAGAGCCCACCAAGGCGACGAUCUGUAGCUGGUCUGAGAGGACGACCAGCCACACUGGGACUGAGACACGGCCCAGACUCCUACGGGAGGCAGCAGUGGGGAAUUUUGGACAAUGGGCGCAAGCCUGAUCCAGCCAUGCCGCGUGUGGGAAGAAGGCCUUCGGGUUGUAAACCACUUUUGUCAGGGAAGAAACGGCUCGUACUAAUAUUAGGAGCUAAUGACGGUACCUGAAGAAUAAGCACCGG